Molecule: ribosomal RNA, 491 nt
Filed under: uncultured bacterium
Lineage: Bacteria
Description: partial 16S ribosomal RNA
Rfam family: Bacterial small subunit ribosomal RNA
Source: RNAcentral
AGUGAACGCUGGCGGUAGGCCUAACACAUGCAAGUCGAACGGCAGCACAGUAAGAGCUUGCUCUUACGGGUGGCGAGUGGCGGACGGGUGAGGAAUACAUCGGAAUCUACUUUUUCGUGGGGAUAACGUAGGGAAACUUACGCUAAUACCGCAUACGACCUACGGGUGAAAGCAGGGGAUCUUCGGACCUUGCGCGAUUGAAUGAGCCGAUGUCGGAUUAGCUAGUUGGCGGGGUAAAGGCCCACCAAGGCGACGAUCCGUAGCUGGUCUGAGAGGACGAUCAGCCACACUGGAACUGAGACACGGUCCAGACUCCUACGGGAGGCAGCAGUGGGGAAUAUUGGACAAUGGGCGCAAGCCUGAUCCAGCCAUACCGCGUGGGUGAAGAAGGCCUUCGGGUUGUAAAGCCCUUUUGUUGGGAAAGAAAAGCAGCAGGUUAAUACCCCGCUGUUCUGACGGUACCCAAAGAAUAAGCACCGGCUAACUUCGUG